UAUCGUACAACGGAGGUGCGAGGGCUGUCGCUGACCUUCAAAGGUCGUGCACGCCCGAGCGCUUUCACACAAUCCAUCUCACCCCUUUGUGCAUCACCGCGUGGGUCCCCCCCUUUGCGGGGGGAGGGCUUGCGUUUUCACAUAAAACUUGAUACGGUGUAGAAUGUCUUUAUUUGCGAUCACACGCAAUCAAUACAACUUUCAACAACGGAUCUCUUGGCUCUCGCAUCGAUGAAGAACGCAGCGAAAUGCGAUACGUAAUGUGAAUUGCAGAAUUCAGUGAAUCAUCGAAUCUUUGAACGCACCUUGCGCCCCUUGGCAUUCCGAGGGGCACACCCGUUUGAGUGUCGUGAAAUCCUCAAAAACCCUUUUCUCUUCGGGAAAGGGGAUUUUUGGACUUGGAGGUUCAAUGCUCGCUUUCAGUUUUGAAAGUGAGCUCCUCUCAAAUGAAUUAGUGGGGUCUGCUUUGCUGAUCCUUGACGUGAUAAGAUUUUUCUACGUUUUGGAUUUGGCACUGUCCCUUGGACGCCUGCUUCUAAUCGUCUCAUGGACAAUGAUGGUGCCCUGGUCACCGCCAUGUACAUUGGCGGGGGAGGCUGGAACCAUGAAAUAAAACCUUGACCUCAAAUCGGGUGAGACUACCCGCUGAACUUAAGCAUAUCAAUAAGCGGAGGAA
RNAcentral lists this ribosomal RNA (676 nucleotides) under uncultured Russulaceae. RNAcentral describes it as "eukaryotic LSU rRNA". The stretch from base 197 to 350 matches the Rfam family "5.8S ribosomal RNA". The record is from RNAcentral. Lineage: Eukaryota; Fungi; Basidiomycota; Agaricomycetes; Russulales; Russulaceae.